CCAACAUUCUCUCCAUUAUUAAUUGGCCAGUUUCUAGCAGGCAUCACAGAAAAACUGGGUCUGGAGGAAGAAUAUGAAAAGGCAUAGAAUAGUGCCUUACAGAUCAGUUUCAGGAGGGCAUUCCAUGUACAUGGGGAGUGAAAAAGAAGAAGGCGUGGGACGUUUGUGUGAUGCUGAUAAAUGCGAGGACGAGGCUGGCACCAAUGGCAGAGACUUGAGCAGCAGCUUUUAACUGCAACCCCACAGGAUGCACCAGCAGUAGGAAAAGAGCAUUGAAGCAAGAUAGGUGAAUAGCCUGUGACCUCUCCGGACUCAGGAUGGAGUUUGCAGGAGCCAUCUUGAGAUGAAAGAGAGCAGUUCCAUAGGAGCCACACCAAACUCUGGCUGCAACAAACCCCUGACCUGGGGAAAACUAGCCCUGCUAUUAGGAAGAGAGCAGCAGUCACACUGGUCCCAGCCUGAGAGGAACGUGUCAGGUAGCAAAUGCAGACCUGCGAGAUGACCUUUCACCAUCAUUUCUAUCGCUAAUGCUAAGAGGAGCUGACCAGGAUAUCUGCACCUGUCUAGUUUCAGAGAAGAAAAGCUGCAGCCAUCCUCCAGCCCAGAGCAGCAACACAUGCCUGUUCCUGAAGGCUCCACCAGCCAAAUUACUGUGUUCCAGAAGGGCCAGUGUCCUGGUAGGUGACCAGACUCAUUGACUCAUCCACCUGACGUGGAGGCCUAAUCUGGAUAAGUGUAAGCAGUCCCAGAGGCACACCUCUGCAACUCCUUUCUGAGCUAGAACAGGGUAUUAGAUAGACUCUUGGACAACAUGUAUGCAGACUGUGGACUUGAGACUCCACUGUCUCUUUUAUCUUGUGUUGUCACCAUCACUUUUACAGCACCCAGAGACCCCAACUGAGACUGGAUAGCAAGUCAGCAGCAGAACCAACAACAGAAGUCAGAAUUCCUGACUCCCAGUGACAGUACCCUCUCCACUGCUUCACAGAUGACGCUCCCUUUCUUGAUUAGCCCUGGAUUACAACAUUAUACAAAAUUAUAACAUAAAACAAAAAGGAGAAGGGGUCUUACUGCCUGGUUUUUGGUUUUUGCCCCUCUCUAAUCUCUCAGUAUUUCUAAUGCAACGAUCACCUUAGCAUUUUUAACAGUUGUAAAGUACCAUGUUCACUUGCUUCAUUUGUUAACUGGCUCACUAUUGUCUUAACAAUAGGUGCAAAAAAGGCUAAAAUGCUUUAAAAGUACCCAGAUGCUAUGGUGAUAGGCACUUUCAAAAUGCUGAUUAGAUAUUGCACAUAAUAAUAACAUCGCGCAGGGUGCAAAGGAGCUAUAGAUAGGGUACAAUGUCUUUACUCCCAUCUCCUUUCUAAUGUAUAUCAUAAAACAAACACAUUAUAUACCCCCUACCAUUAAUUAAAAUAGGGCAUGGUUUUGUUUAAGGGAGGUUUUUCCACUGACUUCACUGGAAGUCCUAAAAUGAGUCCCUAAAUAGACAAAGAUGAGUAAAUGUAUCUAUGGGCUCAGUUCUGCAGGGUGGCCUGAUCCUGCAAAGCAUUUAAGCACACGCUUAUCUUCCUUAAUCACAUGGACAGUCACAAUGAAGUCAACCUAACCACCAUGGGACUAUUACCUGCUUAAAGUUAAGUAGUAUAGUUGUAGUCCUGUGGGUCCCAGGAUAUUAGAGGAACAAGGUAGGUGAGGCGAUAUCUUUUAUUGGACCAGCUUCUCUUGCUCAGCAACAGACAUUGGUCCAAUACAAGAUAUUAUCUCACUCACCUUGUCUCUCUAAAGUUAAGCAUGCAUUGAGAUGGUUUGAAGCAUUGCAGCCAGAGUGCUCAGUAUCUUGCAGGAACCAGGACCAUCUGAGUAAAACUGCCUUUCAUGUCCUGGCCCAGGCUUCUGUGCUUUUGGGGUAUGUGGGUGACCUUACUACCAUUUGCUGCAGAAACAUGGGCACAGUCAGUGGGGUGAAUUAAGGGUGGGAUUUCAAUGUUUCAGUUCCAUUCAAUGAAACUUCAUUGGCAUGACAACUACACAGCAUUACCAAAGACACUUCCCCCCUCCCUUCUGGAGAGAUCCUCAGGUCUUUAUCAGAGGCAAACCCACCUAAAGUAGGGUUAGACACUAUAUUUGAGGUUAGAUCCCCUGUGUCCAUUUGGCAUUUAAACUCUUGAGUGUGAACAGCUUUGCUUUUGUAGGGUUUAAGUGUGAGUCCCUUAAGUGAUUGUGACAUUGGAUUUUGUGGUGGUGGGAUGGGGGGCAGGGAUCGUUUUGUUCUUGGAUUUUUAAUAGUGUCUCAGGACCAGGUACAGAUCACAGAGUAAGUAGGUCACAUGUAGAUGGUGGCGAUGCACCUUUGAAAAGGGAUUACAGAUACCAGAAAAGUCUGGUCUCCAGAUUCAAUAGGCAGGAACAGAUUAUAUGUGUUUAUUUAUGUAUUUU
This is a long non-coding RNA of Gopherus flavomarginatus (Mexican gopher tortoise), 2439 nucleotides long. RefSeq lists it as uncharacterized. The record is from RefSeq and is a predicted model, not a curated record. The transcript has 3 exons. NCBI's taxonomy places the organism in Eukaryota, Metazoa, Chordata, Testudines, Testudinidae.